GAUGAACGCUGGCGGCGUGCCUAAUACAUGCAAGUCGAGCGAACGGACGAGAAGCUUGCUGCUCUGAUGAUAGCGGCGGACGGGUGAGUAACACUUGGAUAACCUACCUAUAAGACUGUGAUAACUUCGGGAAACCGGAGCUCAUACCGGAUAAUAUUUUGAACCGCAUGGUUCAAGAGUUAAAGACGGUCUUCCUGUCACUUAUAGAUGGCUCCGCCCUGCCUUAGCUAGUUGGUAAGGUAACGGCUUCCGAAGGCAACGAUGGAUAGCCGACCUGAGAGGGCGUUCGGACAAACGGGAACAGAAUCACGGUCCAGACUCCUACGGGAGGCCGCAGUAGGGAAUAGGCAGAAAUGGGCGAAAGCCUGACGGAGCAACGUCGCGUGGGGGAUGAAGGUGCCCGGAUUGUAAAACGCGACUAUUAGGGAAGAACAUAUGUGUAAGAAACUGGGGAAAGCUUGACGGUACAUUACUAGAAAGCCACAGCUAACGACGUG
RNAcentral lists this ribosomal RNA (497 nucleotides) under uncultured bacterium. RNAcentral's name for it is "partial 16S ribosomal RNA". It matches the Rfam family "Bacterial small subunit ribosomal RNA", at positions 28 to 507 of the family's 1533-position model. The record is from RNAcentral.